AUACUUACCUGGCAAGGGAGACACCGUGAUCAAGAAGGCGGUUCACCCAGGGCGAGGCUCAGCCAUUGCACUCCGGCUGUGCUGACCCCUGCGAAUUUCCCAAAUGUGGAAAUCUCGAUUGCAUAAUUUCUGGUAGUGGGGGACUGCGUUCACGCUCUCCCCUG
Molecule: small nuclear RNA, 164 nt
Filed under: Salmo salar (Atlantic salmon)
Lineage: Eukaryota; Metazoa; Chordata; Actinopteri; Salmoniformes; Salmonidae
Description: U1 spliceosomal RNA
Rfam family: U1 spliceosomal RNA
About the family: U1 is a small nuclear RNA (snRNA) component of the spliceosome (involved in pre-mRNA splicing). Its 5' end forms complementary base pairs with the 5' splice junction, thus defining the 5' donor site of an intron.
Source: Rfam by way of RNAcentral